Molecule: ribosomal RNA, 274 nt
Filed under: uncultured bacterium
Lineage: Bacteria
Description: partial 16S ribosomal RNA
Rfam family: Archaeal small subunit ribosomal RNA
Source: RNAcentral
AAACCAGCACCUCAAGUGGUCAGGAUGAUUAUUGGGCCUAAAGCAUCCGUAGCCUGCUCUGUAAGUUUUCGGUUAAAUCUGUACGCUCAACGUACAGGCUGUCGGGAAUACUGCAGAGCUAGGGAGUGGGAGAGGUAGACGGUACUCGGGAGGAAGUGGUAAAAUGCUUUGAUCUCUCGAUGACCACCUGUGGCGAAGGCGGUCUACCAGAACACGUCCGACGGUGAGGGAUGAAAGCUAGGGUAGCGAACGGGAUUAGAUACCCCAGUAGUCC